GCACUGAUGAAGUGUCCCAAACUAGGACGAAACAGAUGUCCAGUAC
This 46-nucleotide non-coding RNA is filed under the name Trichobilharzia regenti. The record is from RNAcentral. Lineage: Eukaryota; Metazoa; Platyhelminthes; Trematoda; Strigeidida; Schistosomatidae.